AUUCACGAAAACAAACAAAAGAUAAAUAAAAAACAGAUCAAGGAUUACCAAAAAAAAAAGAUAAAUAAAAACGAUCGCAAAACUAUGGGCCGGGAUAACCAGCCUAUUAAUUCAAAGUGGGCUUAGCUUAAGACCCACGUUAAAAAAUUUGGAAAUUAGAAAAAAGUAAAGUUACGUUAACUAAAAAAAAGGAAAUUAGACAUUACAAAAAAAAGGAAAUCAGCCACUGGCACCGCCGUAAGUAGUGUUUAUAAAAAGGGGAAAGCUAUCAGAGAGAGUUAGAAUUGUGUUUUGCGUUCUUCUUUCUCUGUUUGUCAUAUUUCUCUCGAUCGCUAUAGCAUCAUGACGGAAGACCAUUUCUAGCGAUAAUCACUAAAUUUUGUAGCGAUAAUCACUGUAAGAAUUCUUCUCUCUUGCUUUCUAGGGUUACUAAAUUUCACUAUUAUUAGUUUUUUUUUUUUUUGUUUUGUUCUUUUGGUUUUCUUUUUGUUUUGAAGCGGCUUUGAUAAUUUGAAAACAAAACGAAUCGCGACUCUGCGUUUCAAAGUUUUCUGAGAAUUAUUACAAGUUCGUUUUUCCUCUUUUUUGUGUUACUUGAUUUUGUUUAAGAGGGUUUGGUUUACGUUUUUUUCUGUUGCUUUUGUAGCGCUUUCUAUACUUUGAUUAAGCGUGAAAUUGUUGCGAUCGGCUGUGGUUUGUUGCUCUGUGUUUUUUUGUUUUGUUUUUCUUAGA
Molecule: long non-coding RNA, 732 nt
Organism: Arabidopsis lyrata subsp. lyrata
Lineage: Eukaryota; Viridiplantae; Streptophyta; Magnoliopsida; Brassicales; Brassicaceae
Exons: 2
Source: RefSeq, a predicted model, not a curated record